Molecule: ribosomal RNA, 1305 nt
Filed under: Triticum aestivum (bread wheat)
Lineage: Eukaryota; Viridiplantae; Streptophyta; Magnoliopsida; Poales; Poaceae
Description: partial small subunit ribosomal RNA
Source: RNAcentral
AUGGCCGCCAACGGCCAGCCGGCGGCCGCGGCCGCCACCAUCGACGACCUCCCUGAAAUCCUGCUGCUCGAUAUCUUCCUCCGCCUUCCCUCCCUCUCGGACCUCGUCCGCGCCGCCUGCACCUGCCUGCCCUGGCGCAACCUGGUGACCAACUUCCCCCCCUUCCGCCGUCAAUUCAUCGACCUCCACCCGGCGCCCCUCCUCGGCCUCUUCUUCGACACGCCGUUUCAGGCUGUCCCCGGCAUCCCCGCCUUCGCCCCCGCCCGCCGGAAUGAUCCGGAGCUCGUGGCCGCCAUCUUGAGCGGUGACUUUUUCCUCACCGCCCUCCAGGCGCGCGACGGCCCGGAAGCUAACUGGAGCUUCCUCGACGCCUGUGGCGGCUACCUUCUCCUCAUCAAAGAGGAUGAGGUAUUGCUCCUGCUGCUAAACCCCUUGGCACGGUGGUGCGAGCGGUUCUUUGAUCUGAGUGACUCCCGCAUCUUCGACGACGACGACGACGACCGCGAAGGCGAUCGUCAACUCCUUUACGCCGGCCUGAUCUGCGAUGACGAAAACCCCGCGAGCUUUGGCAUCUUCUGUCUUGCUGCCCAUGGAGAGUUCAGGUUGCGGGCUGCGGUCUUCUUCUCAUUCUUGGGAAUGGGCGGCGAUUGGUUCCUCUCCCCAUGGUUGGAUGUCCCGCACCAUCCCAACCCCCACCCGGAAGGUGACGAAGAUGACGAAGGUGACGAAGAUGACGAUGGUGACGAAGGUGAUCUUGUGCUUGAGAGCGGCAUGCGAGUGGGUAAUUUCAUCUACUGGCUUUAUCAGAAUCGUGCGUAUGUGGUUGUCUUGGACCCCAACCCAAACAACCCGCGAUUGUUUGUUGAGAUGAUCCCCCCUCUCCUCAAUCUGGAAGGUUUUCACAGCUCGAUCCUUGGCCAAAUUAACGGCGAUAAGAUGUGCAUUGCUUAUUCAAAUGGAUUCAACAUCGGUUUCAUGCUGCGUCAAGAAGAUGGCCUUGAUGCUGGGGCAUGGGCUAACAGCAGGGUAUUCAACCUGACUGAUCAAGUUCGACGGAAGCUUGGGUACUUACCCCAGAAUGGGCUGAAAAUUGCGGCAAUGCGGGGUAGCAUAGUGUACUUCACAACAUCACAGAUGUUCCAUCCGCUCGAGGCCACUUGUUGGUUUGCUUGUCUGUGCUUGGAAAGUCGCAGGCUGGAGUGGUUGUUUCCGAGGACGUAUAAUGGUCUCUUCCAACCAUACCACCAUUCAUCGUGGAGUACUUUUCUGUUACCAGAGAAUGAAAGAUUUUAUCCCUUCAUAUGA